UUAAUGUACAAAUUCUCCUUAGCCACUAUCUAGAAUCUAUAAAAGGACAAGCAUCAAAUUUGGCCAUAAUUUGUCAAGAAUUUUAUUUAGUGAGAUGAAGCUUCCAGGGAUAUCAAAUAGUUUAAAUAUUUUAAUUUCAAGGGCAAUGGUUUUGCUUUGUUUAUUUUUUUAUAUUGAUCAAUCAAAUGCAGGGGAUUAUAAGUCUAGAUAUAUCAAAAUAAGAUUUAGAGAUGCAUAGAUGUAAAUUUAGAUAGACAAAAAUUUAUAUGGAUAAACAGCUAGAUAUGUGUAUAGUUUUUUACUAAUACUUAAAAAUGUAGGAGCAUGAUGGGGAAGCUUUCCUUCCUUUUACAUAUCAGCCUUGAAGUGUUUAAGAUCCUUGGUUAGGAUUACUAAGAGAAAAAUUUCAGAACUGAUAUCCAACUAUGGUUAAUUUGGCUCCAAACUCUUGCUUGUGCCCUGCCAUCUCUGGACACUCUCUUUGUCUCCCAAGAAGCAAGCUCUAACUAUUUUGAGAAUAUCAUCCAUAUUUUCUUUCUGUUCCAGGGUCCUAGGUAUAUUAUCUCAUGAGUUGUUUUUUUCCUUUAUUGUCAUCUAGAGAGUGCAUACGUACGUAUUAAUGGUGGCAGUUGGGCAGGGCUCAGUUGCUACACAAAAGACUCAUAGGACCAAAAUAAUAAUUUUUACAAAUCUGUGGUUUGUUACAAGGAAAUUAUACUACAUAGCAACUUGUUUCUUAAGAAAGAACAGUAAUCACAUUGAAAAGCUAUUUCACACCAAGAGUUCAGAGAAUCUGAGUAUAGUCUCCAACCAUCCCUUGGAGGGGCACCAUGAUGUGCUUUCUCUUUUGGGUCAAGACCACCAUCUCAUACAUACAUGGAACCCCAUGAAAGCAGGGAGUCCAGUAUAGAGUAGAGGCUCAGAUUUCUUAUAUCCUGUAGAUCACGUAGGCUUGAUUUUACUAUGUAGUUUGCCCCAGUGUCAGCACCUUCUUAUAUAUCUCACAGAGGCACCUAUAAAUCCUCAAUCCCUGUUAUCAAUAAACUAUGUUGACAAACUUAAACCAAUCUUUAUACAAAUGGUUAUAAGGUAACAAUUAAUGGAAAGGGUGAUGCCUUGAUGAGGAGUUGAUGUCACAGGUACAUCCAUUAUUUCAGUAAAAUGGCUUAGUGCAACUCCAGAUCUACUAGAAGUAACUCUCAUGGCACAAUAUAUAUCAUAAUAAUCAUAUAGUGUCUUUAAACACUUUUUAGCUGAUACUGUGCAACUCAACUAAGUGUGUAAAGCUGAUUAUUUCUGUCAGAUCCCAAUCUACCAGUUUGUCCCAGUCCCUAAGAUUAACAUACCCAAUAAUCAUGAGACUCAUAUAUAUGAUUUCUUAUUUUAAUUUUAAUACAUUUAAUUUUAAUACAUUUUCUUAUUUUAAUACAUGAGUAUUUUUAUAGAAAUUGUCUAGCUUCCAGCAUUUUAUCAGCCAGUCCUUUCCCUUUUUUUAUUUUUAUAUGAAAUGUUAUUUGGUACUUCCUUGCAUAGAUUAUGGAAUAUGAAACUGAAACACACUGAGGCCAACCUUUAUUUGUGAAGUAGUGUUGCUUGUUAGUAAGAAUGAUGAUAAGAAUCAGAUUUUCUAUCUAGAUUCCCAGUGUUUUUCUCAAAUGGAAGUAUCAAUACCUGUCCAGUUGACACAUGGAUAAUAUUUUCUUGGAAACACUAAUUACGCAUAGAUCAAAAUUAACAUAAGAAUUUUAAUUUAAGUGAUUAAAUAUGCUCCCAUAAAUUUAUUUAAUCUUUUAAUUUGCAGGGCCAAUCUUCUCUAUUAUCAGUAAAUAUGUUUAGCUUCUGGAAAAGUAUUAGAAGCUUCAGUUGUUAAUAAAUAUUUACUAACAUAUUUGUUGAUUACCUAUUGCGAGUCUCAUUUUCUCUGCUAAAUGCUUCUUAACCUGGUGUCUAUUGCAUUAGCUCCCCCCCCCAUAGGGGUACAUAAAAUAAUGGCAUUGUCUUAGAGUAGAUGAUACCUUAGUUUCAUGAAAUACAUAUAUUUAGAAGGAGUUUCUGAUGUUAGUGAGGCCAGACCAGGAUGUUAGUUGUGUUUGACAGUUUAGUCACAGUUAACUUUUCCUAAAAUUCACUCAGCCUCACUCAAAAACUAAUGUUCUCUGUGACUUUUUACUCUGCCUCCUCUCGAUCCAUUCUAAUACUAUGAUAGAUUGAAUUAGUGUUCACAGUUAUCUGGCCCCCUCUCCGUAGACACAAAGGCGUGUUCCAGUGUAGUCCAUACUAAUCAACCUGCAGCUCUAACAGGUUACCAGGAUCAUACAAUUCUGACCACUACCGUGUGAAUUGCCUCAACUCCUAUUGAAAUCAGCCUUGGCCAUAUGACAUGCUGGGACGACAGAAUGCAAGCUGAAAUGAUGUACUUUCAGUAUCAUUGCAUUCUUUUCCAUUACCUUUUUUCCCUCUGCCACAACAAUUGCAUGACCCAGCUGAGGAUGAUUCCUUUAUCCUGUGUCCAAGAAAAGACUUUUGGGGCAUGUUGGCAGCUGGCUCAAAGCAAACAUAAAAGCAAGAAAUAACUUUACGUGUCAGCCACUGAGAUUCGGGAGUUGCUUGUUUCUACAGAAGAAUUUAAUGAAGAUUGACUAAUAAGAAUUCAUGUACUAAAAUAUUUAUCUUUUCCUACUUAUAUGUUAGGCAGUUUUAGCAUUCUGAAAUAGAGUGGUUAACAUGACAGGCAACCCCUUCAUGUAGCUUAUAUUCUUGAAGGAGAAACAACAAUAAACAGAAAGAAAUAAAAUAAAAAUACUAUUUCUGAGAACGUUAGGUGCUAUUGGUAAUGUAGAGUAAAGUAUCUGUGGAACUAAGUAGUGACAGGAAUUGAAUAUGAUGAUAAGGAAGACACUUCUACAAUGCAUAAAUUUUGAACUAAAAUCUAAAUAACAAGAAGAAAUAAACAAUACAAAUAUCUGAGAGCACAAGCAUCUAGGUAGGGUUUACAGAAAAUAAAAAGACUAGAAAGCAGGGAUGGGACAUAUUAAAAGAACGGGAAAAAAAAAUCCAGUAACCAUAGCAUGUGAUGAGCUAGGAAGGCCAUGGUAGAAAUGUGUUUGGAAAGGUAGCAGAGGCCAAGUUACAUCAAGCCUUGGGUUCAGGAACAGGUGUAGAGUCUAUUCCUAGGUGAGUCUACAAUAAUCCACUCAUAUGUGUAGCAUGCUUUUGAUAUAUAACACAUCAGUGCCAUCAGUGAUACAUUAAUUGAUUUCAUUCAAAUCGUAUUUCCUGACCUGUUUGUUUCCUCUGAAUUUCAUUGUCACCUUGGUUCUUAUCUCUUAGGGUAUGCCAAUGAUAUGAACUUGGGGAUUCCUUCUAAACUACAGUACACCUUCACUCCUCUGACAAUAUCCCUUUUUAUCACUUCACACCCCAGUUCAAUCUAACCUCACCUCAUUGGACCUUCUCAGGUGCCAACCUCCCUGUGGUUAGCAAGCCUGCCUGAUGAGUCUUUUUUUCUUCUGAGAAGUAAAUAUAAAAGUUGUUAUUUUGUUAUUUUUUAUUUAAAUGUUUUCAGUCAAAUUCAAGGUUUUAUUCAGAGAGGUAUUCUCUGGAUGGUGGAGAAUCAGUACCUACAUUAGUUUUAGGACCAAUUAUAAAAAAAAAAAAAAGCUAUCACCCCUGUCUUCUGCUUAUGAUUACAAUGAAUUAGAAUCAAAUUUCUGUUAGCUCAGGGCAUAAAAAUAGCUAAACCUUGGCACCAAGGUGGCUCAGUCAGUCAAGUGUCCGACUUCAGCUCAGGUCAUGUUCUCGUGGUUGGUAUUGGUGAAUUAACCUUGGAUGAUGUUCAGAAUUCUCAGAAGAAAAGUUUGAAAAUAGUUUUGAAAUACAAUAUUAUCAGAUAGUACUACCUAAAGCACACUGUCAGAUCCACUUUCAGAUCUCUUUCCACUCUCAAAACAACAGAUUAAAGUCCUUUAAACUGCAGAAGUAUUAGAUCACUGCCAAUUUAUCAACAAAACAAAGUAAGGAGCCUCUUGCAAACAAUCACCUCAUAAUUUUUCUUAAAUAACUGAAGAAGCAAGUUGUGAGCUCAGCUACUAUGUAUGCAAAAGACUCCUGCAGAUGACCAGAGAAUAGAGAUGACAGGCAGCAGUGAAAUGUGGCACAAAAAUCUGUCUCUGGGACCAUUCGAAGAGUUCUGAAUCACAACUUCGGCACCUGUUAGUGGAGUAGUCUCAGGCAAGUCACUUAACAUUUCUGAACCUUGCUUUCUCUUUAUAAAAUAAAGAAAAUAGAAUCUAUUAGGAAGAGUUCUUUUUAGGGUCUAAGAUUAUAUUCCCCCCUAGGAAUAGUGGUUCAGCAUUCCUAAAUUUUAUGUUCAUGGAGACUUUAUAGAAUAAAACUACUAUAAAUAAUGAAAACUAACUAUAUCUGUGUGUGUUUGUGUCUUUGUGUUUGUAUGCCACAUUGACAAGAUAUUUUACAGCCACAUAAUGGAACACUGUUCAGCUGCAAAAAAGGUACAGAUUAAAUGCUCAUUACCUAUAGACACAUGCUCAAAAACAUUUUGCUAAGUGAAAGAAACCAGACAUAAGAAACUACAUAUUCUAUUAUCACAUUUACAUAAAAUACCCAGAAAAGGCAAAUUUUUUGAGAUUAAAAGUAGAUUAAUGAUGGCAUGGAGCUGGGGGGCACGAGUGGGGAUUAGCUGUAAAUUGGCAUGAGAAAAUUUAUUGCAGAGAAGGAAAUGCUCUAAAAGUGAUUUGUGAUGAUGGUUAUACCACUCAAAGUUAUUAAAAACUAUCAUAUAAGUGUACACUUGAAAUGUUUGAAGUUUAUGAUGAUACCUGUUAUAUAUCAAAACUGUUAUAAUAAGGAUGACUCAUUUUUUAACUAUUUUAUUCUUGGGGUAGACCUAGCUUGUAAUCACCUCCUUGAGUCCACAAACUGUUUUUCUUAGUUUUUGAAACUGUAUUGAUUGAUUGCUAUGCUAUACAUCUCUCAUCCUACCUGACUUUCUACAUCACUAUUUCUUCCCAUUACUAGCACAUUUGAUGCCAAGGGCACUGUAGUGCUUUAAAGUCCAACACAGACCUAACAAUUUGAUGCUGUCUGUUAUCAUCUUAUUCAUGUAUCAGUUCACUCAAUAAUCAUUGCCUGCUGUGUUCCAGCACAAUGCUAAUCACUAGAUAUGGAAUGUUAACUAAAGCCAGCAUAGAACCUAUCCUCUUGGAAUUUAUUGUGGAGAAGCCUUUUCAUUCUAGAUUAGGCUAGAAUGGUUCAUUGCUCAAGAAAUUGGAAUAAUAUAUCUAAUUCCUUUCUAGCCCACACAUACACUCUAACAAAAUUGAGUUUUCACUCCACUUAAAUAAUCAUUUUGAGAUGAAAUGGACUGAAAAGAAAAUGAUAGUGAUACCAUGAAUUUCUCAUUCAGUGAUCUUCCACCACUGGACCUAAGCAGAACUUUCUGCGUUUUCUGCUUUCUUUAUGUUAGUAAAGCUGGCAGAGGUUGUGAUAGGACUAUUAUUUGGCUUUUGGACCUCAAAUGAUAACAUGAUUCUGUUUCUUUUCAAGGUUAUAUUUGGACUCAAAGCAUCAUCUGGAGAGGUAAACAGGUUGCUGCUUUAGCUCCUUGCUUACUAAGAUUCAGUCUUUGAUAGUGCUUUCCAUAGAGACACACAUAUAAAAAUUCUUUCAUUCAUCACAAGAUGAUUUUUAUCUCAUCCAUCCUGCCUAAGACUGUUGAACAGUUUUGCUGAUACUGCCUAGGUUAUAAACACAGAUUACUGGAUACACAAAUCAAUUUCUUGCUCUAAAAAUUAUAAAUUUAGUCCAUUAUAUUGCUUAAAAUGCUACAAAAACAGAAUCAACGAUUGUGAUAUCCUUCUCAUUUCCUUGGAAAUAUUUGUAGAUCUACAGAUCAAGAUACAGAACAAUCCCUGUGAAUCACAUUUGUUUUAACAGCAUUUUCACAAAUUCAAAGGCAAGAAUAUCAUCCUGCUAUUGUACUUGUGGAAAGGUCUGCCAUGCCAUAUAAUUGUUCUUGUUAUGUUUUCUUUUAUCUCAAAUUUUGCUUUCUGAUAUAACAUCUGAGCAUCUCUUACUUAGUAGUAAUUACCUUUGUUUCAGAAAAUUCAUGAGAUUUGCACUGCAUGAAAUAGCUUCUAAUGAAGCUAUUUUCCUUCUGUUCGUGAAAAUCUAUAGGUACCUUUGGGCUCUCAGAGGAGGUGUCUAAUGCAGUCUGCUGUUGUGAUCAAACUACUUUUCAAGGUGGCUGUACCAUUUUUGCAUUCCUACCAGUGAAAACUAUGGAAUUCUCAGCACAUAAAAAAAAUCUUCCCAACGUCUGCACUAAAUAAUGGCAGAGUAAAUAAGUUUUAAAAUCUCCUGACCUUCUUCCCUUUUUAAAAGUCCCUAUCUUAGGUACGUUAUGAGAUAUGGCAGAGAUAAUAUCCACUUUUCUUAUCAAGUACUCUUAGCAAGAUAUAUGACCUCCCGUACUAUAUAACUAAUCAUAUUUUUCAAAACUCCUUGUAGGUAAGAGUAAGCAUGUACCUAAAUUCUGUCCAAUGUUAUGUAAGCCAAGGUGACAUAUCAGUUACUUACCUCAAGAGAUAUUUUUCCUUUCUUCUUGUCCCUCCAUUUUGCUACCUCUAAAAUUGAUGCAACAUCUUAGAUCAUCUAGUUUAGAACUAUGUUUUAGGAUUGCUGGAGUGAUUAUCUGUUGUUUCUUGAGAAUAUUCUAAAGUAGAGUCACCAUGUUAACCUUGGAUGGCUUGCCUCCAGGUUGAUUUCAAUGAUAAAAAAAAUAUCAAAAUAAACUUCUAUACUGUUUAAGGCACUGCUAUAUAUUUAUGUUACUCACAGAUAACCUCAGUUUGGAAUUUUAGGAAUAAUUGAAGGUAAUCAUUACUCUUAAAAUAAGGGAAAAUAAAUUCACUUCUCAAAGCUAAAGUACCAAAACAGCAUAAUGAAUCUUAGUCCAAAGUAAAUGUUAAUGGACUUUACUCAUCAGAACUGGAAUUUUAGGAAAAGGAAAGUCAUAGAGGCAACCACUGGCAUAACUAGGGGAAUCUAGGCAAAUAACAGACAGUGGUGCAAAUAAACUAGAACAUAGAUUAUAUGUAUAUUGAUAAAAGAACAACAACAAACAACUAAAUUAGCCUCUUUGAGUCAUUUAUUCUUAAGAUGUUUAAAAGUUUCACCAUGGUUGGAUUACUGGUAAAACAGGGUUGUAACAUCUAUCACGUAAGGAAAUGUUUUCUACCUAUUAUCUGUCAUCUACUCAUUGUCCUUAGCACAAUGCUUAGAAUAUAAUAAGUUCUUAACGUGAAUCACUGUUAUAUUUUUUACUCAAUGUCAUCCUGUGUUCCUUUUUUAGUAACACUACAAGAUUCAUGGUUUUAUCUCUUAGGAUACUUCGAACUCUAUAGUGACUUACAAAUUUGAAUGAUCAAAAUAAUUACUAUAAAAUUUAAAAGUCCUCUCUUCUUCAUUUUUUGCUUUUAAUAUUACUGAGAAUGCCUUAAUGGGAUUAAAAAUAACAUGAUUUUUAAAAAUUAUGUGCUAUUUCUUAAAACACUCUUAUGUACAAAUGUAACUGAGACUUAUAAAGUUUAUGUUUGUAGCCUAAACUCCCACAUUAUUUUAGUUCAGAGGUACAUCCGCAGACUCCAAAUAGUUUAGUUAUAGGCAGCUGUAUUUACUCUACAUCACACUCUGUUUCCUUACUUUCCUUCUUAAUAUAUUUCUUGAAGUGACAUUUUUAAUAAAUUUUCUUUUAUGUCAGAAAAUACAAAAUUAUUGGGUGUCAUUUUAGUAAGAGCAUUUACAAGUUUGCUUUUCUUUAACUUUUUUAUUCUUCUUAAAUUCUCAAGUCAUUGUGUAUAAAAAAAAAUGAAGAGGCAUGUAAAUAUAUAAGGAUUCCUGUAAAUAAGUGUUCUUACUGCAUACUAGACAUGGUUUGCCAGAAGGGAUUAUUUUUAAGAUAGAGAAGGAUAGUAAAUAAUAGUGGCAGUUCAAAUUUUGUACCAAUUUCACCUUCCAUUAAAACUGCAUUAUUAUAUUUAUAUGAUUUAGUGGAAUUGUCUUGCUGUAAAGAGGCAAACACUCUUCGAUGGUUAGACUCUGGCUGUGGUUGUCAGCUUUAACCACUCAGAUGACUAUGGGUUGUAUAGAAGCCAAUAUAUCAUGAUCUGUUUAAAUCACUAUUAUUUCCAUAGCAUUUCUGCUAUGAGAGUUUGCUGAAGCUUGGGGAAUAGGAAACUUAAAUAAGCUGAGAACAAGUUGAAAAAAUGAAGUCAUUUUCAUUUCUAUUGUCUAACCAAGUGAUAUGGAUAUCCCAAAAUUAAUAUUCUGAUUGAAAACACUUGAUGUUUAAUCUUUUUCCCCCACAUAGAGAAAAAUACAUUGAAAUUUCAAAGAAAUAUUCCCUUGAUAUUUAUUUUUAUUAGAUUCAGCACUGGCUAGAAUUUAGGAAGCCUGGGGGUGAAAAAAUAAAUUUUAUGAACUAUAAGCUAUAUCUGCUAAAUAACCUAGAGCUACUUCAUAUGUUUUUCACUGUGAAAAUAGUAUUUCUGAAGUUGUCACUAGUCUAGAACUUACAGGCUUACUUUGAAAUUCUUCCUUUUAAACAGACAGUGUAGAUCCAGGCAAAGAUAUGGUAAUAUCCAUUAAAACAUGUUACAAAUGUUUAGAAAGUAUACAUUGAAGGCUUUAACAUGAAACAAUUGCUGCAUUAUAGUAUUAAUAGUAAUGUUAAAAGACAUUUAAGAUAAGAAUUACAAGAGUAUUUUGGCCAUUUAAAGUAUUUUUGAAACCAGAAAAAAGCAUAUGAUUAUACUUCUCAUGUAGGGUUGUAUAUGAGAUUUCAAUUGUACGUUUAUUAGCUCUUAGUCAAAUCUCUUUGCUCUUUAUAGUAAACUAUCAAGAUAUUUACUAAACUAGUUCAUAGAACUAAAUACUUAAUAACUAUUAUCUCAUUUAGUCACGUAGCAAAUAUACCUUUAUCAUAUAAUUCCUAGGAAUCGUGGCAGUGAAUAAUAAAAGGUAGUUUUAUAAAUCUUGCUUAGUUGGCAAGAAAGAUAAUAAACACAUAAACAGCCAAGUAAGACUAAUUUAUGUACUUACAACUGUUAUGGCACAAAUAAAUGUAUGCAUAAAGGCUUACAAUAAAACAUGCAUGUCUUUAUUUACCAUGGAUCAUGGUAAAAAUUUUAAAAAAUCACCUUUUCUAAAAAGUGUUAUUUAUAGAUUUUAAUAGAUUUAAUGUAUUAUUCCAAUAAUGUACUGCAUAUACAAGUAUUAUGACAUUCCUUGGAAAUGAUGUAAUUCAUCUUAAACAGAUAAAAUAAUUAGCCAAUACUUAUUCUAAUUUAUUUAAUACUUAAUGCAAUUAUCUGGAUUUUAGUUUGGCAAUUUAAUCCAUGGGAAUAUAUUAAAGUUUAUUGAGGAAAAGAGCAAAAGAAUGAAACCCUUCAAUAGUGAGCACAGAACAAAUACUUAUAUUUUCUCCCCUCUAUCAUACUGUUUUGUGAAAAAUUUGUAUGUAUUUGAUUUGUGGAGUUUUCUUCAGGGCAGGACAAUUAUUUCUUGUAGGAAAUAUC
Molecule: long non-coding RNA, 9596 nt
Organism: Felis catus (domestic cat)
Lineage: Eukaryota; Metazoa; Chordata; Mammalia; Carnivora; Felidae
Exons: 4
Source: RefSeq, a predicted model, not a curated record